UUUCUUUGGCAUUGGGAAUAUGGAGUAGAAAACCAACAAAGCAUAUAUCCACCUCAGCAAAUAGUUAACCUUAACUCAUAAUAGCUCAUCAAUCACAAUUACAUUCUUCAAACCUACAACUAUAACUAAAUUAAAGUACAAGAAAAGGAUUUAUGGCAUAAUAAGUAAGUCGAUAACGGAACACCAAUAAUCACCCAAAUUUCAAACCUAGUGCACUUUACAAACAAAAUACCUUGUGGACAGUAUAAGUCAUACACAUAACAGUAGAAUGCAAAAAUAAUCAGUCAUACAGGCAAUUCAUCCAUCAUUGUCUCAGAAAGACCAACAUCCAACAAUAAGAAAAUCAACAUGGUAGAUCCAAGUCAAAUGACUCAAAUCAACAUUAAAUAAGAAAUUAAACUAAAUGACAUGAUAAUCUUGUAGAUCAAGCAACUUACAGUUGUUAAAACAUAAAAGUCAAAAAAGUAGUUUAAAGAAAUGAAACAGUUUUAGAGGCCUCAAAUUCUAAUACAUUGCAUAAAGGCUGAUUUUUUGAUACCCUGAAUGUAAGGCAUAUAUGCUAAUUAAGAAUAAUUUAUAGAAACAAAAGGUUUUGUGCCCAGCUAAAAUGGGUUAAUUAUAGGAUAUCAAAAAUAAAAGAUUUACUAUGAAGGAAAAAUAUCUGCAUUAACAGCAAGGAGGUAAUAGUCAAAUGCAACUCUGCAAAGAAGCAAGUGUAGCAACAAACUCAUAAUGGUGUUCAGAAAUACAAAUAAAUUGAGUCCAUCAAGACUUCCUUAUCGAGUAGACACAAAACUCAGAGCAUUAUCCUAGAAUAGAAGAGGGAGAGGGCUGAGCCUAAUCAGAAAAACAUAAUUGCAUUACUGAACGGUCACACAAUUAUCGGUACAUGCGCAGAACACUAAGAGCACAUAUACCAAACAAGUGAAUGCUAUGCAUCCUUGAAGCAGCAAAUACAAUCAAGAAGAUCAAUGCUGACAAAGCCUAAAGGUUGUUUCCCUGAAAACUGACUCCUUUGGACAGCAAAUAUGUCGCAUACCCUAGCAUCAGAUAUUCUGGUUUCAGAAGACUUCUUUAUCCUAGCAAUAUACUUACAUGAUGGCUGAUUGUCCUUAGAGCUUAAUCACAAAGUACAACCAUGCCUUUGUUACAAACUUCAUAUCAUCUGUGUUUUCUUAUCUUUACUUGUAACACAACUCAAAAAUCAAAAUCUGCUGCUUUGUUAGGUUCAUAUUCUGUGUAAGAUGUCAAAACAGUGACAAAAAGGAACUGU
Molecule: long non-coding RNA, 1273 nt
Filed under: Ricinus communis (castor bean)
Lineage: Eukaryota; Viridiplantae; Streptophyta; Magnoliopsida; Malpighiales; Euphorbiaceae
Description: long non-coding RNA (RCOM_LNC003552)
Source: RNAcentral